This is a long non-coding RNA of Orcinus orca (killer whale), 4526 nucleotides long. RefSeq lists it as uncharacterized. Lineage: Eukaryota; Metazoa; Chordata; Mammalia; Artiodactyla; Delphinidae. The record is from RefSeq and is a predicted model, not a curated record. The transcript has 2 exons.
GCGGGCGAGGGAGCAGAUGGUGCGGCCGCUAAUCCCCCACUGCCUGAGGGGGCCGGGGACACCUGCCACAGAAGGCCAGGGUCUCAGCGCUGGAGACGCUGAGACGGGAGAGCAGAUAAUCCUGGGCCAGGCUGGCCUGAGCUUCUGUCAGCGGAAGAGAUGGAGAGACUCCGGAGGCCAUGGGGCUCACCUGCCCCUCACACCUAGCCUGUCAUCUGCUCAGGGACAGAGGCUGUUGUAGUGAGUUCCGGGGUGGAGACCGGCUGAGGGGUGCAUCCUGAGAAAGUCAGGAGACAGACCUACACAGAGCAACGACCCCGUGAGGACACAGGGAGGAGACGGCUGUCUACACGCCGAGGAGAGAAGGCCUCAGGAGGACCAGCCCUGCCCACACCUGGGUCUGAGACUCCAGCCUCCAGGGCUGGAGACGACACUCCUGUGGCUCAAGCCCGGCCAUGGUACCUGUGUGGCGGCCUGAGCAGAGGUGGGUGGCACCUCCUGCCCUGCCUGUAGGCCCCAACACCUCCUGCCCUGCCCGUAGGCCCGGGCCAGCUAAGCCGGGGGCUGGAGCAGAGGUGGGGCGCCGAGUCCCUCUGGCUCUGCCUCACGCGGGCGACCCUGGCUACUGACCCCACCUCUGCAGCAGGAGAAAACGCCCUCCUACUCCAGCUCCUGAAGCCCUAGGGCCUGGUGCUGGGAGCCCGAGCUCCAGAGGCAGCUCUGCCCGAUGCCCCCCGAGCCGGGCACCCUGUCAGGGACGCUCCGAGGAGCCCCACGUCUGGAAAGGCUGUGGUGGGGACGGGGCAGCACACAAAGAACAGACAGCAGCAAUGACAGGGAGGACAGAUGGGCGGGGCGGAUCCAAGGCACAGGCACCGGGGGCCAAGAGCCCCUCUGCUGCGGGGACAUGGGGUAGGCUUGGGCUGCUCUAGGGCAGCUCCCGCCGUCCACAGGGCUCCCCCAGCAGAGGGGCAGGCCCCAGGGAGGAGGGGCUCCCAGGCCUGCGCUGGAGCCCAGGCCCUAGCACCAGCUGUGCGCACCGGGCAGGGUCGGGGAGGCACGGCUGACUCCGACGUCCCACCCCUGGAGGGGCCCAAUCCGCUUCUCCUCGUCCUGGAGGCCCUGCCUCCAGCACAAAAGGGACCCAGGAAACGGGAGCCCCGCCCCACUGCGGGGGCAGGCCGGGAGCAGCCCUCCAGGACCCACGAGUCCAGGCACGGGCCAACCCAGCAGCCUCUGUCUCUCUCCCAGGGCAGACCUGAGGGAGUCACUGUGGACGACGGGCGCGGACAGCCUGGCGGGCAGCUGGCAUUCGGCGCCUGACCCCUGCCUGGGCUGACACGCGUGUCCCUGCGGCAAGCAAGCCUGCAGGUGACCCUGCAAACAGUGGGGAGCAGUGGGCACACGCGCUCAGGUCACAGCCUCGGGACCGUCUCUUCUGACGGAACCAGGUCCCUCAGAGAAGCGUACAACUCUUGGUGUCCAGGGGACGUGACGGCACCCAGAGUGAAAGCAGAGGGUCAGGAACCCCAGAUGCCCAACACCUAGCCAAGCGAACAAAACUCACAGCAUCCAGCCCGGAGCAGAGGCCCACGGAGAGCUGGCUCGACGGGACCACGGGAAGGGGACAGUGCUGACUGGACCCCAGGCGGGCCCAACGCCAGGCAACCGGUCUCACACAGUGCUGAGAGGACACGCAAAGGCUAAGCCCCAAACGCACUGCCUGACAAGAGAGCUACUACGACACGUGGGAAGGAAAAGCCCCGGACGAGACGCGACCAAGAAACGGUCUGUGGGCUUGAAGACAGCAAGGAAAACUGAACAGAAGAAAACAGAGGCCAAAAAAAUAAAAUGAGUGUCAGCGGAUGGGGGGACAAACAGACUGGCCUAACACACGAGUACUCACGGGCCCGGAAGAAGAGGAGAGAAAGAGAGGGACAAGAAAAAUACUAGAAAAGAUAGACUAUAACCUUUCCACGUAUGAUAAAAAGGAUAAAUACACAAAUCUAAAAAACUCAACGGAAACCAGGUGGCAAAAAUGUAAAGAAGCCUGCGUGGAGGCACCUGGUGAUCAGAGCGCGGGGGUGCUCGGUGGCGAUACGUGUGGAGCGACCGGGUGACGAGUGUCUCGUGGGACAGAACGCACGGGAAGAUGGCGAAGCAACACCGUCGAGGUCCUGGAACAAGCUGGCAACCCAGAACCCCACAUCUGGCACAAACAUCUCCCCAAAACCCAGCAAGAUAAAACGGAAGAGGAUUCAACACUGGUAAAAAUGCAUAGCAAACAACACAAAGGGCGUCCUUCAGGCUGAAGGAGAGGAGGCUGGGGGGCCGCGUGCUGCUCGGGCCAGAUGGGGGCCACACCCCCGCCGACCCAGGGGAAGAGAGGGCACUGGGACAGCACGCUGCAGGCACCUGGUACGUGGUCAGACCCUGCCAGGCCUCCUCCUCGCCGCACCCCCUCACUUCUGGGAGACACACACCUGACACAGGGUGCCGUGGCAGACGGCACAGGAAGCCACCUGGCGUGGGGCAGCCGCUGGCUCACCUGGCCCCGAUGACAGGCUCGCGGGUGUCCUUGGAGGCGGAGUAGUCCAUGCCGUAGAAGUUGAGUCCCAGCAGGAUCUUGCUCCGCCACUUGGACUUGGGGUCCAGGACCUGGAUGCAGGCUCGCACCCAGGACAGCGGUGCGCUGGGGCCGGCCCUGUGGGGCCGAGGAGAAGUGGGUUCAGCAGCAGGCAGAGGCCUCAGACGCCCCAGGUUGGGGUGGGGCCCACACACGGAGUGGGAAGGACGGCAGCAGACAGGCGGGCCCCUGCAGUCAGCUGAGAGGCUCAGGUGAAGCCUGGGAUGGACAGAGGCAGACGCCCCCGGCCACAGGAGCACCUUCUCCUGGGCAGCGAGGCAGGCCCAGCACCACAGCCACCAUGUGGCGGCCAGGAUCGCAUAGGCGUGGAUGGAAGCCCGGGAUGGCAUUCCCAUGGGGGUGCCCGCUGCCCUGUGUCACGUGACUCCAAAAAGGAGAAGGUCGCCCAAUGCAAGGCCAAUUGCGGGCUUUGGGAAGACGAGACCGGGCCCUUCCUGUGCCUGGAACCGCGAGCUGACAAAGCGUGGCCCUGAGCAGGCUCGUGGGAAGCUGGACUUUGCCUGAGCGUCUAGGCCCCCGGUCGUGGGAGCAUCUCUGCGCCAAGCCAGAGCGCACGGGGCCCCGGGGUGCCCCCACUCACUGCUGCGCCGUGGAGUAGUCAUAGGUCAUGAGGCUGAAGCCAUCCAGCACGGGGGCCAGCUGCUCAAGCUCCUUGUGUGUGAACAUGCCCAGCUUGUUGGUCCUGCAGUGAGACGGCGUGGUCACCACACCCAGCUCGCACAGCCCCUCCAGCCCCGCCCCAGCUGACACCUGGGCUCAGCAGAGGGCACGGCAAGCCGGCCGUGUGGGCUCCCAGCUCACGCCCCUUCCUCCCACGCCAGGAAGACACCUCAGGUCACUUUCCCUGCAGAGUGGCCCAGCGCUCGGUCACAGGGGAUGGCCCGCAGCUGGGUCCUGACGGGCAGAGCCUGCCGCUGGAGGUCCAGCAGAGGCCCGGCUCCCCUCCUGCCCAGUGCACUGGAGACCGCGGUUAGCCCAGCUCCGGGAGGGCCCAUCCAUACGUGGGCACAGGUGCCCCAGGCCAGCCCCGCUUCAUCUCAGUUGCGAGCACGGUGCUAUGAGCAGAGUGCCCUCCCUCCCAAGGCCUCAGGCCUGGGGCAGGCGGGAGCCCAGGUGGCCUGUCUGCUAGACACACCUGGUCUGCUAGCCCACCCGCUCUGCCUGCAGCAGCCCCUAGGACUGCAGCCUUGUCCCAGGGGGGUCGGGGCCCUCUGCUCCCCCCAACAUGUGAGCAGAGAGAGAAUCCCUCUUCUCAGCCAGCACCUCCAAUCCCUGGGCAGGGGCAGGGGGGCCCACCGUGUGGACCUCAGCCAUGGUCACUGGUUCCACAGGGUCCAGGCAGCCCGGCCCAGGUCCCCCCGACACAUGAGGCACCUGUGGGACCUGACGACCAGCAGCACCAGCCAACGACCCCAGGACCCCAAAGCCCGCCCCCGAGGGGGGUAAAGCGACCCCAGAACCCCGAAGCCCGCCCCCGAGGGGGAUAAAGCGACCCCAGGACCCCAGAGCCCGCCCCCGAGGGGGAUAAAGCGACCCCAGGACCCCGAAGCCCGCCCCCGAGGGGGUAAAGCGACCCCAGGACCCCAAAGCCCGCCCCCGAGGGGGUAAAGCGACCCCAGGACCCCGAAGCCCGCCCCCGAGGGGGUAAAGCGACCCCAGGACCCCAAAGCCCGCCCCCGAGGGGGUAAAGCAACACUCAGUGGUGGGCACCUGCCGCGGCAGGGAGCUCGGGGACACACCUGGGGAGCAGAUGCCCUACCGGGCAGUGACAGCCAUGCUCCCUGUGGCCACACUCCAGACCGGCCCUCUAAAGUCAGCUAGAAGGCGCCAGGCCCGGCAGGCGGCGUUUUCCUCCCGGCUCAGCCCGAGAUGGAGACGG